UUUUUAGUCACUUUUCAGAGCAGAUCCCUAUUUUAAGACCUGCUAAUUGGCUUUAGGUUUGAGAUGUUUAUUCGUCCUCUUCCUUUAUAAAGAUGUAUUGUCUUUUUCACCAUUAUAGGCACAGAUUUAGAGACUGAAGGAAAAAUGACCACACUGAAAAGCAGCAUUUGAGAUAAAAUCCUCUUUUAUAUGAAACUACUUCAUAAAAUGGCUGCCACAAACUGAAUGUGUUCUGGUCUACAAAGUCUGCUGCAAUCUGCAGUUUAGUUCCACAAAAGAAGCCGUUUGCCAAGAGGACAACAGAUUACAGAUCUAAAACGUCAAAGCUCUCAAUGGAAAUUAGGUCUAAAUCCAUUCACACAGAACUAAUAUUUCCAAAUUGUAUUUUAUAACAAAGUGCAAGUUGGAAGCAAAUACAAUUGUUUGUACUGCUGCAGCAUCUCUUACAUAAUAAAAAUGCAAGCCAUGUCCAUUUCAUUAUGGUUAGGGAUACGAGAAGGUAACUGCAAUAAGGAAAUUCCAAGGGAUUUAAGCAGAAGUUGGAUCUAUAUGGUGUGUCUUAUGUUAUUUAUACUAUUGUUGUACAGGAUUGUCAAUUCCUAGAUUUUACCUUAAUUUGUAUUUCAGAUACCAGUAUUUGUGAAGUGAACAGUAGGUUACAUUAAAAAUUUAUUGUAUGUAACCUAAUGUACAGGUAACUGCUCCUCUUCACAUCUGCUUUUUUUUAAAAAAAGCAUUAGAAAAGGCAGAAGAUGCAAGAAAAAUAUAUUUUUAAAGAAACAUUACAGCCAACAUUCUGUUCCAUUAUUUAAAAUUUUGAGUUACUGACAACAUCCCAGCUUUCAACCUGGGUGAAGCAACUUAAAUCAAGUGAGCAAGCUUAACAGUAAAGUUGGAAAGCUUGACAAUUAGGUUACUGUCUGUACACUGAAAUACAAGAAGAACAGGUGUUGCUAUUCAUCCAAAAGGACCCAAGAAAGGCCUACAUACGUGCAGACUCUACUCAACUUUUUGUAAGAGUUAAACUAACAUCGUUUCCUCUCAGGAAUAAUGUCUCUUUCAAGUCAACUCUCAGAGGAGUUUGUGUUUGUUCAGAUAAGAUUUUUUUUUCCUUUCCUAAGAAUGGAAAUGCAGGAAUCACAAUUCCAGUCAUAUUCCCCAGUCAUUAUACUAAUGCACUCUCUACCAAAACACACACAGUUUCCCAUCUGUAUUUUUGCUUCUCAUAACCUCAGAUCAGUGGCACCACUCACUCAUAUCCACCUUACCCAUCCAUUGUCAUUACUGUAGCCUCCAAUCAAGGCAUGAUUGUGUAAUAUGACUUCACACAUUACCUAAUGCUUAUAAGCUUGUCCAAUAAAACUGAGAGGAGAGUCAAGUCAGAGAAGCAUGAUCCAUUCAGACAUCCAUGUGUUUCAGAAUUACAGUAAAGCAAGCUGAAGGCUUUACUUCCUAGAAAUCAUUUCCCCCAUAUCUUAAAGUCAACCUUAGGAAGUAGAGUAUUUUAGACAUCCAGCUGACUCACAGCUCAGAAAAUAAGGCUCAUUUAUAAAUGUGCUCUGUUCAAUUGCUCCCACACUCCAGGUGAGUAGAUAUUACCAGCAGUAAAUUUAUUCUGGUGAAGUAUGGGGAAAGGGGGAGAAAAAUGGUAAGCAUUUUACUUUUUUAUUUAAUACAAACAGGUGAAACACAUGGCUUAUCAAUGAGGCUAGACACAUGAUCUUUGCUACAAAAGAGAAAAAUUACACGUGAUGCUAUGCAAAUAUUAUACCCUUGGGACAGAAAAAAAAUCAAAGGUCGUGUGUCUGUGUGAUCCAACUUAUUCAUCCAUUAUACCUAGUUAUUAGAUUUCAUUUUAUUUGGCAUAAUGUUCCUACACUCCUAAAAUGUAUUUAUUCUGAUUGCUGUUGCUCUUACUACUGAUCAUCCACAUUUUUCAGUGUUAUUUAGAUUAAAAAGCAAACCAACUUUUCUUGACAAAGUCAGGAUUUUUGCAGCUUCACUUACAAACAUAAUUACAACCUUACAAUUAUGGUUAAAAAUGUGUCAAACAUUUUAAAUAAUGCAAGUCCUUGUAUGUACUGUGUGUAUGUGAUUUGGUAUUUUUUAAACCAAUUUAACAAUACCAUUUUAAAUCAAAUAAACUUACCUAUUUCCAUUUUAAGACCUUUUAUUAUAUUGCAAUUUAAAAACAUUCCUGAUUUGCAUGCAAAAUUAAGUUUUAAAAGGCUAUAACAAAAUAACGUGGUCAUAACUGUGUUUCUACCACAAUAUUUCAAGUUCAUAGAAUGUUCAAGAAUAGGUUAAAUAUUACUGGACAAAGAGUCUUUCUUAUUCAUACAUUUGAUAAAAACUUACAUAGUGCACAUAUUGAUACCAAAGAGUUUUGGAAUUCAUUUUAUUGAUAAUUACUUAAAAGAUACUUAAGGAAAAAUGAAUAGGUCACGAUUUAAUAAAAGUUAACAAAAACAGGCAAAAUGCAGUGUAUUGACAAACCACUGAAGAGCAAUGCAAAGUUUUUAAGACUUCAAUGUUAGAUUAAGCCAACAUAUUUUGUUUAAGAUACAAUGUUAAAAGUUAAAUGAAGAAACAAAGGACUUAAUGUUGUGGUAAGUAUCAAAUGUUAGCUGUAUUUUCAGUAUACUGUUCCACAAAUCAAAGUUAAAUUUAUAAAAUAUCUGAAAAGAAUACCAUUACUUGACAUAAAAGUAAACACAUUAUGAGCAAAAAUAUACAAAACAAGCAAGCAAAUGACACCAAGGUUCCCAUUAACAAUCCUAGGUUAGAUUUUAUAAACAUGAAAUACUAUCACCACCAGGGGAAAGUUUGGUUAAAUUGUAUCAAAAUAUCCUAAAAUACCUAAACAGUAUCAAAGUUCUGUAAGCCCAAACAAAAUAUAAAGCAAGGAGCAUCAAUCAAACAGGCACUUUUUAGUUUAUAUUUUAAAAUGAACUUUUUUUCAUUCAUGUAAGUUUCUCUAGUGUCUAUUUACUAUAAUUUACUACUACUUGGCUUCUGUAUGGCCCUCAGUUAAAGUUUAGACUUCUGAGAUUCUUCAAAGAAAAAUUUGCCUUGUAUGUAAAAUGGUGCAAUGCAGCAAUGGCUAAACCGACAAGGUCGUUUUUCACAGAACAAAAAACCUAAAAACUGAAAUUCAGAAACUGAAAAAGCGUAACAGAGAAAGGGACUCCCUUGAAUAAAGGUACAUUACCUUUUGACUCUGACAUGGGCCCUUAAGUCACAACACAACUUUCAGAAAUUGCUACCAAAAAAAAUUAGGGUGUGGCAUAUUAACAAUCUCAAGGUCAUUCCUUAAAAAAGGAAUCAAAAUCAGUUAUAUGUUUUGUAUUAAGUACGGACAGUAACCCAAAGCUGUCAAGGUAAACACUGUAUUCAGAGGUUUUUAAAAAAAUAAAGUUGAUAGAUCAUACCUCGAUGCAUUGCUGUGUACUGAACCCUCCUCUCCUUGGCUUUUGUCCUCAUUUCUCAUCAUCUUUUAAUUCUUAAAUAUUUAAGGGGGGUAUCUGUGUUUGCUUUGAUGUCCUGUGCCCAGGUAUUUACUGUCAAAAGUUGAAAGAAAGGUAAGGUCCCAGUUUGUUUCAUUGGCUUUCGUUAUCAAGAACAAAGUCCUGACGCUGCAAUGAUAGUUAUAACAAUACACAACACUGAUCAGCACAGGAAAACGGACAUUUAAAAUAAUAAUAUUCAUUUUAAAAAGAAAAAGUAGGAAGAGAAACAGCCCAGAGCAGCAUCCUGCAAACUUUCUCAAAGUAACAGAGGAAGCAAAAAAAUCUCUAUUUUAUUGCGUCAUCCCAACACAGCUCAAAUCGGUCGAAAAGUCAAAGGACUCAAAAACGGCAGAAAUCUGAAAAUUAAUAAUAUUAAUUGCCCACCUACCUGAUCCAUGCACCACCGCCAGGACCAAGCCGAUAUUAGUUUCGGGUAGUGGAAAAACAUCAGAUCCAAAAUAUUUGGAGGCUAAAACGAUAACUAUAUAUUUUUAGAUAAUA
This is a long non-coding RNA of Dermochelys coriacea (leatherback sea turtle), 4010 nucleotides long. RefSeq lists it as uncharacterized. NCBI's taxonomy places the organism in Eukaryota, Metazoa, Chordata, Testudines, Dermochelyidae. The transcript has 2 exons. The record is from RefSeq and is a predicted model, not a curated record.